UCUUCCUCUUGUAUAACAAUGAUGCAAUUGCUUGCCUCUAUACUUGUCCUGACCACAAAAUCAAAAACAACAAUUCCUAAAAGCACAUCAACUUCGAAGAAUAACAAAUUAUCAACUUCCGAUUCGAAGCAUACCUGUCCGAAUUCGAGCGCGAGUUGCUGGAGGUCCGACUCCGACAUGCCGAUGAGCACGCCGGUUCCAAUUCUCUUGCUGAUGGGAGGCGAGGCUACUCUAGCGGGGGGACCGCGCUGCCACUGCCACAGGAAACUGCUAGCGCGCGAAAUUGUACGGCACGAGCGAGCGGCGCGUGGCGUAAUGCGGCCAUUGGCCUCAUUUUUAGGGAGAAAUUUGAAUAGAUGAAAUGAUGAGGAUGAGUGAAAUGAUAAAACC
RNAcentral lists this long non-coding RNA (390 nucleotides) under Salvia miltiorrhiza (redroot sage). Its description in RNAcentral is "long non-coding RNA (SMIL_LNC006560)". Lineage: Eukaryota; Viridiplantae; Streptophyta; Magnoliopsida; Lamiales; Lamiaceae. The record is from RNAcentral.